AUUGAACGCUGGCGGCAGGCCUAACACAUGCAAGUCGAGCGGAUGAGGGUAGCUUGCUACCCGAUUCAGCGGCGGACGGGUGAGCAAUGCCUAGGAAUCUGCCCGAUAGCGGGGGACAACGUUUCGAAAGGAAGGCUAAGACCGCAUACGUCCUACGGGAGAAAGUGGGGGAUCUUAGGACCUCACGCUAUCGGAUGAGACUAGGUCGGAUUAGCUAGUUGGUGAGGUAAUGGCUAACCAAGGCUACGAUCCGUAACUGGUCUGAGAGGAUGAUCAGUCACACUGGAACUGAGACACGGUCCAGACUCCUACGGGAGGCAGCAGUGGGGAAUAUUGGACAAUGGGCGAAAGCCUGAUCCGGCCAUGCCGCGUGUGUGAAGAAGGUCUUCGGAUUGUAAAGCACUUUAAGUUGGGAGGAAGGGCUGUAGGCUAAUAUCCUGCAGUUUUGACGUUACCAACAGAAUAAGCACCGGCUAACUUCGUGCCAGCAGCCGCAGUAA
RNAcentral lists this ribosomal RNA (500 nucleotides) under uncultured bacterium. RNAcentral describes it as "partial 16S ribosomal RNA". It matches the Rfam family "Bacterial small subunit ribosomal RNA", at positions 30 to 523 of the family's 1533-position model. The record is from RNAcentral.